CAGCCGCCGCGGUAAUACGUAGGGUGCGAGCGUUAAUCGGAUUUACUGGGCGUAAAGCGUGCGCAGGCGGCCCGUUAAGACAGGUGUGAAAUCCCUGGGCUCAACCUAGGAAUUGCGCUUGUGACUGGCGGGCUCGAGUACGGUAGAGGGGGGUGGAAUUCCUGGUGUAGCAGUGAAAUGCGUAGAGAUCCGGAGGAACACCGAUGGCGAAGGCAGCCCCCUGGGCCUGUACUGACGCUCAUGCACGAAAGCGUGGGGAGCAAACAGGAUUAGAUACCCUGGUAGUCCACGCCCUAAACGAUGGGUACUAGCCGUUUGGUGCGCGAGAGCGCUGAGUGGCGAAGCUAACGCGUGAAGUACCCCGCCUGGGGAGUACGGCCGCAAGGUUGAAACUUAAAGGAAUUGGCGGG
RNAcentral lists this ribosomal RNA (410 nucleotides) under uncultured microorganism. RNAcentral's name for it is "bacterial SSU rRNA". It matches the Rfam family "Bacterial small subunit ribosomal RNA", at positions 509 to 917 of the family's 1533-position model. The record is from RNAcentral.